This 382-nucleotide ribosomal RNA is filed under the name uncultured eukaryote. RNAcentral's name for it is "partial 18S ribosomal RNA". It matches the Rfam family "Eukaryotic small subunit ribosomal RNA", at positions 592 to 976 of the family's 1831-position model. The record is from RNAcentral.
UGUAAGCGUAUACCAAAGUUGUUGCAGUUAAAACGCUCGUAGUCGGAAUUUGGCAGUUCCGGAUGUGUGCACGUCGUGUGCGCACUUCGCGGGGAUUGCUUUUGUGGUCUUGCGUAGGAUGAGGCACUUUUAUUAGUGAACGUCCUCACGCAACCACUUUUUACUGUGAGAAAAUCAGAGUGCUCAAAGCAGGCAUUUGCCGUGAAUGUAUUAGCAUGGAAUAAUAGAAGAGGACUUGGUUCUAUUUUGUUGGUUUGUUGGGACUGAGUAAUGAUUAAGAGGGACAGUUGGGGGCAUUUGUAUUUCGGUGCUAGAGGUGAAAUUCUUAGAUUACCGAAAGACAAACUGCUGCGAAAGCGUCUGCCAAGGAUGUUUUCAUUGA